CCUACGGGAGGCAGCAGUGGGGAAUAUUGGACAAUGGGCGAAAGCCUGAUCCAGCCAUGCCGCGUGUGUGAAGAAGGUCUUCGGAUUGUAAAGCACUUUAAGUUGGGAGGAAGGGCAUUUACCUAAUACGUAAGUGUUUUGACGUUACCGACAGAAUAAGCACCGGCUAACUCUGUGCCAGCAGCCGCGGUAAU
This 194-nucleotide ribosomal RNA is filed under the name uncultured bacterium. RNAcentral's name for it is "partial 16S ribosomal RNA". It matches the Rfam family "Bacterial small subunit ribosomal RNA", at positions 338 to 524 of the family's 1533-position model. RNAcentral also lists the same sequence under 1 other name. The record is from RNAcentral.